Molecule: ribosomal RNA, 206 nt
Filed under: uncultured bacterium
Lineage: Bacteria
Description: partial 16S ribosomal RNA
Rfam family: Bacterial small subunit ribosomal RNA
Source: RNAcentral
CUCAGUUUGGAUUGGAGGCUGAAACCCGCCUCCAUGAAGUUGGAUUCGCUAGUAAUCGCGCAUCAGCCAUGGCGCGGUGAAUACGUUCCCGGGCCUUGUACACACCGCCCGUCAAGCCAUGGGAGCCGGGGGUGCCUGAAGUUCGUGACCGCAAGGAGCGACCUAGGGCAAAACUGGUGACUGGGGCUAAGUCGUAACAAGGUAAC